RNAcentral lists this transfer RNA (71 nucleotides) under Camelus bactrianus (Bactrian camel). It matches the Rfam family "tRNA". Rfam says of the family: Transfer RNA (tRNA) molecules are approximately 80 nucleotides in length. Lineage: Eukaryota; Metazoa; Chordata; Mammalia; Artiodactyla; Camelidae. The record is from Rfam by way of RNAcentral. RNAcentral also lists the same sequence under 2 other names.
AAAGAAAUAGCUCAGUGGUAGAGCGCAUGCUUAGCAUGCAUGAGGUCCUGGCUUCAAUGCCUGUUACGUCC